Molecule: transfer RNA, 77 nt
Filed under: Paenibacillus thiaminolyticus
Lineage: Bacteria; Bacillati; Bacillota; Bacilli; Caryophanales; Paenibacillaceae
Description: tRNA-Ile
Rfam family: tRNA
About the family: Transfer RNA (tRNA) molecules are approximately 80 nucleotides in length. Their secondary structure includes four short double-helical elements and three loops (D, anti-codon, and T loops).
Source: RNAcentral
GUUGAUGUAGCUCAGUGGUUUAGAGCACUCGUCUGAUAAGCGAGAGGUCGUUGGUUCAAAUCCAAUCAUCAACACCA